AUUGAACGCUGGCGGCAGGCUUAACACAUGCAAGUCGAGCGGAGAGAGGUAGCUUGCUACUGAUCUUAGCGGCGGACGGGUGAGUAAUGCUUAGGAAUCUGCCUAUUAGUGGGGGACAACAUUUCGAAAGGAAUGCUAAUACCGCAUACGUCCUACGGGAGAAAGCAGGGGAUCUUCGGACCUUGCGCUAAUAGAUGAGCCUAAGUCGGAUUAGCUAGUUGGUGGGGUAAAGGCCUACCAAGGCGACGAUCUGUAGCGGGUCUGAGAGGAUGAGCCGCAACACUGGGACUGAGACACGGCCUAGACUCGUACGGAAGGCAGCAGUGGGGAAUAUUGGACAAUGGGCGCAAGCCUGAUCCAGCCAUGACGCGUGUGUGAAGAAGGCCUUAUGGUUGUAAAGCACUUUAAGCGAGGAGGAGGCUACUUUAGUUAAUACCUAGAGAUAGUGGACGUUACUCGCAGAAUAAGCACCGGCUAACUCUGUGCCAGCCGCCGCGGUAA
This 501-nucleotide ribosomal RNA is filed under the name uncultured bacterium. RNAcentral's name for it is "partial 16S ribosomal RNA". It matches the Rfam family "Bacterial small subunit ribosomal RNA", at positions 30 to 523 of the family's 1533-position model. The record is from RNAcentral.